Long non-coding RNA from Poecilia latipinna (sailfin molly), 219 nucleotides. RefSeq lists it as uncharacterized. The record is from RefSeq and is a predicted model, not a curated record. The transcript is spliced from 3 exons. Lineage: Eukaryota; Metazoa; Chordata; Actinopteri; Cyprinodontiformes; Poeciliidae.
UUCAUGGUUACUCCACUUCUGCUGAGGACUCAAAACUCACCAGCGGGAUGGAAUCGAUCUUGGAGAAGUUGUUAGCUUCGGUUCAGUGGAACGGCCACACUAAUUUGGAUGAUUGGGAUGAACUAAAAGAGACAUACCGGUUAAUGACUCGAGGGCAGACAGAAAUUUUAAGUCUGCCUGAUCUAAAAAGAAUUUGUUAUUCUGAAUCUGGCUUCCUGU